RNAcentral lists this unclassified non-coding RNA (200 nucleotides) under uncultured Thelebolus. Its description in RNAcentral is "sequence contains ITS2". The record is from RNAcentral. Lineage: Eukaryota; Fungi; Ascomycota; Leotiomycetes; Thelebolales; Thelebolaceae.
UUAAGUUCAGCGGGUAUCCCUACCUGAUCCGAGGUCAACCUGAAAAUGGGAAUUGGGUUGAUGCAAGUAACCACUUGGAUCUCCAAAGCGAGAAGAAUUACUACGCUUGAAGCCAAAUGGCACCGCCACUGAUUUUAAGACCUGCCAGAAACUGGCAAUGUCCAAUACCAAGCAAAGCUUGAGGGUUGUAAUGACGCUCG